This is a long non-coding RNA of Acyrthosiphon pisum (pea aphid), 367 nucleotides long. RefSeq lists it as uncharacterized. Lineage: Eukaryota; Metazoa; Arthropoda; Insecta; Hemiptera; Aphididae. The record is from RefSeq and is a predicted model, not a curated record. The transcript has 3 exons.
UUUUGGGACUGUAGAAGGUAUGAACAAUUUAUCAAGAUCCAAUAUUUGGUAUUUAUUAAACUGGAACGUUGACAAUUGUAGAAUUGGGUACGCUGGUAGGUACCAAAUUAUGAUGCAACACGUUUAAUCGUCGAUCCAUUGUAAUGACCUAUGCAACAUAGUACUCCACAUUGAACCACACACUCGAAAAAAGUGUAUGAUUAACUCAUGAUACUUGUGUCCGGUUCUAAAGAACGCUAUGAUAAAUUACUCAAUCCAGGAACCACCUAGCUGCUAUAUGAAAUUCCAUUUUAUUACCCAAGUCAAUCUCAUACGUUCGGCAGUCACCAGCAGUAUGCAAGCGGUCUGCAAAUCUUAUAAAUUAAUU